Molecule: long non-coding RNA, 10919 nt
Filed under: Populus tremula
Lineage: Eukaryota; Viridiplantae; Streptophyta; Magnoliopsida; Malpighiales; Salicaceae
Description: long non-coding RNA (PTRE_LNC001174)
Source: RNAcentral
GCUCAAAUUUUUCAACAAAAAUGCAUCACUCACGUGUCAAACUGUGAAGAAAGCCAAAUAAAAAGGAAACUUGUAAAUAAUGAAGACAGAAAGGACUCGAAAACAAACACGAAAAUUAAGAAAAAAAGAAAGAAAGAAAAGAGUGCCAAUUAUGAUUCUCUUCACGUCACGGUAACGUGAACGGAGAAGUCUCCGUUCAGUGGCCUCUUGACUGCCCAUAUCGCUCGUUUCGGCUCCACCAUUAUUGAGUCUGCUGCUGCUGCUAGUACUACCAGCAGCAGCAGGAUGGGGAGUAAUGUGGGGUUCGCGUUUGACGGGUCGGGUCAUGGAGGUGGGGUUUUGUUAGAAAGAAUUGGGAAUUGUUAGGGUUUGAAAUUAAGAUGGAAAGAGAUUUAAAUUUAAUUGUUAGGAUUUUCGGGGAGAAAUGUCAAGAGUCUAUUUUCUUUCGCUCCUUUUUUAUUUGCGCUGCGCGGUUUCUUAACAAUUAGGAAUUCUUCUGCUUUUAGCCAUGGAGAAGCGUCCUCAAUACGGAUCGGGACACGUGCGACUUUUGGAGGGCACGAGCGGAAAUAAACGGUUGCUGAAGCGAUUCUAAAACUGGGCCUUUUGCAAAAAGGAGAUGGGUCUUUAGGACUUCAUGUAUUGGCCCGUGAGACUAGAAUAGAUUUUAUAAACCGAGGGUCAAAAUGUACAAUUUCCAUUUUAGAGGAGCAGUUUUAUAAAAUUUUCCUAGAAAUUUUAUAAGUAUGCGGAGGAUUUUGCAAAAUUUUCAAACUUCAUCAGAGUUGAGUUUUUUUUUUUUAUUAUUUUAUUUGAGUACACUCAAUUAAUCUUAAAAGUGUUAAAAGGGAAUAAUUAUAUAAAUAUUUAAUGAUUAUAAAAUUUAUAAUUUUUAAUAAUUUUUAAAAAUUAAAUUUAAAAUUUAAACAAUCACAAUUCCUCUAAAUUAUUUGAGGAUUUGAACUUUAAAUUGUGGGUUCCUGCGUUUUUAAGUUUUUAAGUUAUUGAUACUAUAUUUGUUUGAUGUAUUAAUUUUUUUUAAGACUUUCUUAUUCUCUUUCUUUCUCUAUCUCUCUUUUUUUCCCCUUUUCUUCGCUUACUUUUUUUUCUAAUUUACUCUUCAUGUAUUCCUUGAUUGCAGGAAUCGACUACUAUUCAAAGAUAAAAUUUCCCAGAGGGAACCUGCUGGCGGAACACUUAUUAGACCCGUUAUAGUAUUUAUCCGAUUUAAAUGCGUGAUGGUAAUGCGGUAUUUUAUAAAACUGUUUUUAAAUUAAAAAUAUAUUAAAAUAGUAUUUUUUAUAUUUUUUAUUUUUAACAUAAACCCAUUAAAACAUUUAAAGAAAAUAAAACAAAUUAAUUUAAUAUUUUCUAAACAAAAAAAACAAUUUUUUUUAAACUUAAUCACCUAAAUAAACAUUCCCUAUAACCUCCGGUCAAUUUGGAUCUACAAUAUUAUUUUAAUAUUUUUUAAAAAAAAUAGUGCAUUUUAGUUUUUUUUUAAUAAAAGGAUAUUAUUUUUUAAUUAUAAAUAAACUAAAAUAAUAUUAUUUUAAAUAAAAAUUUAAAAAACAAAUUGAUUGGACUUGGAGUUGAUAAAAUCGGUGAGGGCAUGUAGGCUUGUCUGAAACAGUAUCCAAUCUAACUUAGACAAAAUUUCGGUAGAGUGAGUUCUAAACUUGUUUUGUUUUUAAUUAUUUUUUUAUUUUAAAUUAAAUUUUUUUAUAAAUUAAUAUUAAAAUAAAUUUUAAAAAUAAAUAAAAUAUUAUUUUAAUUCCUUUUCAAAUAAAAAUUAUUUUUAAAAUAAACUCUAUCAAAUUUACAAUCAUUCUUUUCAGAUAAAUAGAUCACAAAAUCCACGUGCUAGGUCUGGAGAGUUUAACAUCCAUUUCUGGGAGUUCAAUCGAGUAUUUCAGUAGAGACAAAACCUAUAAUAUUUCAAAAUUUCAAAAUAUUUCCUAUAGUUUAACAUAAACGCUCCGAUCAAUAACAUAAACAACGUUUUCCGAAAUUUCAAAAUAUUUCCUUUUCUUUCGAAAAUUAAUAAUCCUUUUAAACGGCAAAAUUACACCCCAAACAGGAGCUCCCAAGUGUAGCCGCAACUUCCCUAUAGUAUUUCUCCAAUCCAGCCAGCCAAGAUGUCAAAAUCCUUCCCAAUCAAAUCAAAAACCCUAAAAUUGAACCUUUUUAUAAUCACUUCACUAUAUAAAUCACCCAAUCUUCACUGAUCAUUGAUAAAUCACUAUUAAACCUUGAGCUCAAGAAACAAGAAAUGAAAGCCUCACUAAAAUUCCGGGAAGAGCAAAACCCGGUAUUUAGAGCCAAAGUGCCACUUAACAUCUUGGGUUUACCAUUUCAAUCAGGAAUUAUAGCCGGCGAAUCCAAAGAACUUUCUUUAAAUCUCUCCACUUUCUUCCAAUCUGGACCCUCCAUCAAAAUCGCUUACCGUCCUAAUGACACGUGGAACCCCUUCUCCCUCGUUAUCAAAACCGGAACCGGUCACUUCGGUUCUCCGGUUUCUAGCUCCAUGAUUAUGAGUGCGGAGUUCAAUCUAUUGAGUAAAGGUAAUAGUAAUUUAAACCCUAGCUUUAUGCUCCACUUCAAGCCUCAAUUUGGGGAUUUUUCGAUUAAGAAGUCGCAGUCGUCGACUCACGUGAGUCAUCUGACGGGGUCGAUUCUGAACGGCGGCGCUUCGUCUGAUGAUCAUGGGUCGAUUGAGGCCGUUGAGGCUGCGACUCCGACUCCGGAUGUGGUUGAUGGCGUGUUUUGUGGGAAGAGGAUUACGGUUUUGCCACCGGUGACGGCGAGUGCGGUUGCGGGAUUGUUUUCUGGUGUGGAGGUUACGGCGAAGACGAGGCUUCCAGUGAGGAGCAAGGCGGUGGUGAGUUUCCGGUGGGGAGUUCGGGUUCCGGCUGAAAUUAAGAGUGGCGGUGAAUCAACGGCUGGGAUUAAUUUUAGGACGAUACCGGUCUUUGUGAUGAAUAAGAUUGGAAUUGAACACGUGGAUGGUAGAGAUGAGAGGAGUAAGAAGGCGGGGGCGACAGGGAAGGUGGAGAUGGAUUCGGGGAAUGCUGAGGUGGCAGAGGCGUGUUUGGGUGUGAAAGGCAAUUAGAGGUUUUGCAGCGAGAACGGGCAUUUGAGGAAAGCAGUGGAGGAAUUGAGUGAAGAAAUUGGCGGAGGGAAAUUAUUAGUUGGGGAUUUGGAUUCUGGAAAAUACGAGAGAAAUGGAAUUAAAAGCCCCGAGUAGAAGGAGGAGAAACAAUGAGAGGAAGAAAUCAAUGGAAGGAGAUUGAAGAAGAAGGCAUCUAAUGGAACAGCUACUAGUGGUAAUUGUCCUGAAAUUACUGGAUAGUUAUAAUUUGGUGCUUAAUACAUUAAGUUUUUUUUUUUCAUAUCAAUUUUUCAGUUUAUUUAGGGUCUUAUGAACUAUGUUUUUUUGGGUUUUGGUUGGUUUAGUCAUGUAAGAUAAAGAUGUAAAUUAAUUAAAAUCAAUUGGGUUAUUAGUGUUUUGGAUAAGGAAUUCGAAAUUAACUGUAAGUUUAAUUUUUUUUUGUUGGUAGUAUUGUUAAGGGGAUGUUGGGAGAGUUGUAGGAAUUGAUUUUAAAAUUAUUUUUUAUUUAGAAAUGUAAUAAAAUGAUAUUUUUUUAAAAUUUUUAAAUAUAUCAAAAUAAUUUAAAAAUAUAAAAAAUUAUUGAUUUUAAAUAAAAAUAAGUAAAUUUUGCUCAAUUUCUAAAAGAUUUAUUUUUAUAUGAAUCCCCUGAUUGGCGCAUUCAACAUUUUGAUUUAUCAGAGAAAUGAAAGUUGGAGCUUUAAUUUUGUUUUUUACUACUCUCAUUUAACCAUAAUGUUUUAAAAUCACUACGCCAUUUGUUAAAUCUCUUAAUAUUAGGGGUGAGUAUUUUCAUACAGAUUGAUUUUGGUUUGGUUUGCUUCGUGCUGCUAAAAAACCAGCAAAUCUGAAAAAAUGACUUAUCAGACAUCAUCAAGAACAGCAGAAACUAGUUCUCGGCAUCUGAAUCAAUGAACCUUUUGUAAACAUCAAGCAAAUGAAAGGUCUCGUAUCAAUGUUUGAAUGAAUUUUUAAAAAUAGCACUCACUAGAUAGAUACUUCACCGUGAUUUGUUGCAGAUUAAUUUUUUUUUAUUUAAUAAAAAAAUUAUAUACACAUGUUUUUUUGAUAUAUUUUUGUAAUUUAAAAAAUUGUAAGUCAAAAUUCAAAAAGCUUAUACAGAACUAUCUGGUUCUUAUACAUAGGAUCUCCAAUUGCAGGUUCUGCUGUUGAAAAGCUGCAGGAAAUUACUGGUUAUGUAAGCAUAGGCUACCCUUUUGGCUUAACUGCUUCAAUUUUGUUUGCGCGACACUCUGAAAUGGAAGGACAUAAUUAUGAUGCUCAGAUGGUGGAUUUAAUUCUGGGUUUCCUUGCAUCUUUGAAGGGAUCAACAGCCUAACCAACCAAAACUUUUGCACCACUAACUUGUAGAAUCAGCUGAGACAUAACCAAGUCAAAGUAAGGUAUUGAGAUUGAACAAUCAUAAAGAAAAUCGUAUGGAUAGAUGAUCCUGUGUAUCAAUCUGCAUUGCUUAAACAUGAAUGGAGAACAUCAUGUUUAGAUCCAAUCCCCUUUUGCCUUCACGUUGACAUUGGUUAAUUUUCAUUUUGCUUACAUUUUGAUCUUCAGGAUUGGCGCAUUUAGGUUUGAUUCCAGAAGAAGAAUUUGGGAUAUAGCAUUGAUCAAGGAAAAGCGAGGAAACCGAAACAGUUAGUUAUCAUCACGAACAAGUUUUCACACUUUAGUAUGUCAUCCACGCUAUGUAUACUGUGGAAAACUUACAUGGUGUUUUUUUUUUUUUUGCUUUUCUGGAAUGAGUGUAUGUAUCAACUUUCCGAGAUAUCUCCUGUCUGAUUGUUAGGGUUUAUGAAGUAAGUUUUUCCAGGCAUCAUUGUUUGGUUUAGUCAUGUGAAACGUUGGUGCUAUUACUUAAAUGCAUCAGCAUGUAUUUGGACUACAGAAAUGAAAGUUCAGGUGAACAAGUUCAAGCUAUCUCGUCAGAAUUACUCCAUGUUUCGUGGAAUCUUUCAAUGAUUUGAAGCAAUAUCGGACAUCAAUGCAGGGCCCACAUGCAUACAUCAUAUGUGUACCGGAGCCCACGAAAAUAUUGAUUACACACAGCAAAGUUGUACAGAUCAUGUGCCCAUCGUUUCCAUGAAAGAAUCAGUUGGUUUCCGUGAUAUUAUUACUUUUUUUACCUGGAUAAUUCUAUGCAGGUUUUGUCAAGAAAAAAAUUAUAAUUGGCACAACUAUAAAAUAGAGUUGAGAUGUUAACAUGCACUGACUCAAAUGUUUGAUCUCUUCAAUUAUUCUCUCUUUUCUAAUUUCACGGACAACGCAAAAACUAGGUACCAUGAAUUAAUUAUCAACAAUGAUACUUUGCUCUUCUUCAUUUUAUUCUAAAAUCUCUGUUGCCGAAUCGCCAUAUUCUAUACUACAAUUCACGUGAGCAACAAAGUCACAGUCUGGGCAAUAGUAAACUCCAUGUUCUGUGUCAACUUCCCGGGGGCAAAUUUCACAGUGCUUCUUUAUAGAUUUGAUACAUUGUUGAGGAUAGGGGUGAGUAAAAAAACCGAGAAACCGAGAAACCGAGAAAAUCGAGAAAAAAAUAACCGAAAAAAAAACCGAUUAAACCGAUUAAAAUUUAAAAAAAACCGACCAGUUCGGUUAGGUAUCGGUUUUAGGCUUAUAAAACCGAAAAAACCGAACCGAAAAAAUAACCGGAAAAAACCGAGCCAAACCCGGAAAAACCGAGCCAAAACCGGAAAAAAAUGAGCCAAAAACGAAAAACCGAGCCAAACUGAACCAAACCGGUUUUCCCCCUAAAAAACCGAACCGAAACCGGUCGGUUCGAACCGGUUUUGGUUCGGUUUCAGUUUUUUUUUAAAAAAAAAAAAUUCAGUUUGAUUAUUUUUUUUUAUAAAAACCGAACCGACCUGGUUUUGCUGACCCCUAGUUGAGGAUGAUAGGUGUGGAUGAUGGUGCAGUACCGUUUGAAGGGUGCGUGGCAGUGAAAUGCAUUUUCUGUGGACCACGAAUUGACACAUGGUGCACAUGAAAGGCGAGUACUCAUCUCCAUCUGUGUCGCAUGCAUUGCAAGUGAAGGAGAUUAAUUUGAGUGAAAGUGGAUUCAGGAGGCGUCUAAAUUGAUGUUCAUGCCGCAUGCAUUGCACAUGAACAUCUUGAAGCAGUUUAUCGGAUUCUCAUACACUUGAAAAGCACACCAGACAAGCGCGCAGACAAUAAAAGCAUACACUGAUGCAGAUUGGGCGGGCUCAGUCAUUGAUAGAAGAUCCACAUUAGAAUAUUGUACUUAAGUUUGAGGAAAUAUAGUAACAUGGCAAAGUAAGAAAUAAAAUGUGGUUGCAUGAAGCAGUGCUGAGGUAGAAUACAGGGUUAUGAUAAUGAAGUUUGUGAAAUGUUAUGGCUAAAGAGAAUUCUUGAAGAACUGUGAAUGCCUGUGAAUAUGUCAACAUUAACCAAGCUCCCGUUUCUUGUUUUUCUACCCUAGAGAUCCAAUCUUUAUUUUGAUUUUCUAAUUUGUGGCCUUUCUGAUUUGGUGAUCUCCUCUACUAUUUAUCUUGUAACCAUAUCUAUUGAAUGAAUAAGAAAUAAGAUUAUUCUUCAUCUUCCAAAAACCUACACACACAACGCAGUAAUAGAAGAAAAAGAAGAAGAAGAAGAAGAAGAAGAAUUCUUCAUGGAUUCGUGCAUCGGUGAGUCUGAAAGUCAUGUGUAAACGCCCAUUACCUUGAUAUAUGAGUGUUUCCUAAGAGCAAAUUCUGGAUGAGAAUCAAAGUCAUAUUUCUCAAACGAUAGAACCAGAGGUUUAUGAUUUUCACAAAUUUGACAGACAAAUUGGUAGUCAUUUGGAUCAUUACAGGUGAGAAAGAGAGGAUGGUCAUCGUACAUGUUUCUAGCUUUACAUGGCAGAGUAGCCCAUUUAUUACAGGUUUUUUUAAAAUAUUUUUUAUUUUAAAAUAUAUUAAAAUAAUAUAUUUUUUUAUUUUUUUAAAAUUAUUUUUAAUAUUACUAUAUCAAACUAUUUGAAAAUAUAUAUAAAAAUAAUUUACUAUAAAUUUUUUUUUAAAAAAAAUUAUUUUUAAAACAUAAAAAUAUAUAAAAAUCUUAGAAUAUUGAUAGUAGUAUGCAAAGGUUGGAGAUUUUUAAUUAAAUAUCUAUAAGUUUAAAGCGAAAAUAAUUUGAUAACAAUUUGAAUUUGAGACAAGAUUGAUAUAUAUUAUAUAUUUUUUAAAAUAAUAAAGGGUAUAAUUUUUUUUUUAUCUCAAUCUAACUCAAAUUUUAUUAGUCAUUUAAAAUCAGUAAGACUUUCAAAUAAAACCACAAAAAUUAUCUAGACUUGUAAUGUUUUAUUAGUUGAUUUAUAGUUUUUUUUUCUUAUUUAGUUAAAAAAAUAUAUUUUUUAGGAUUGUUUUAACAUAUAAACACUAUAAUAUUAUAUUUUAAUUAGACAAUUAUGAUUUUUAUGUUGUAAUUUUACUUAACUCUAAUUUUACAUGUUUUUAUGUAAAAGUUCUAAACCGUCUCGCCACUGAAUUAUCUUGUCUAACCAAAUAAUCGAAAAGGGAUUUGGGCUCUAAAUCCCUUCUAAAGAAUGUGGAGGCUUAUUCUUAUUCUUUUUAAGAAGAAAAAUACCAAAAAACAUGAAUUAACUUACUCUUCAUUAUAUAUCUUAAAGGAAAAGGCUAUCGGAUGCCCUUGAGGUGUUCUUUUUAAAUAUUAUUUAAAUACAUUUAUUUUCAUCUUUUAUUGUUCAGAAAAAAAGAGAGAGAGAAAAGUGAUCUUAUAUGCGAAAAUAGAAACAGAGAUAACAAGUAUGAAAGCUAGAUGUAUCCAUCCAUUCACCCAAACAAUCAUAACCCAAAAAUAAGAAAAAAGCCAACAACUGCAAUCCAAUUACCAUAGUGACUGAAAGCAUUGCCCUCUUUCACUGUGGACGAUAAAACUGCAGUUAGUAUUAGUACAUUCAAGGGCCAAGUCGUCGCAAGGCUCACCACAAGUAUCGCAUGCUGCAUAAUCCUCUGUCUAGCAACUGCCAACAAUCAUAACCCAAAAAUAAGAAAAAAAGCCAACAACUGCAAUCCAAUUACUGCUUCAAUAAUCGACGAAAACAUGAAUUUAACUUACCUUUUCCAGUGGACGAUAAAAUCACAGUUAGGAUCAGUACAUUCAAGGGCCAAGUCAUCGCAAGGCUCACCACAAGUAUUGCAUGCUUGUGGACGAUAAUCCUCUGUCUUAACGACCAAAGCAAGAGGGUGAGGGUGUUUAGGAUAUGUUCGAACCCCCCCUUGCUUGACAUAUGGGUAUUUCCCGAGAGCACAUUCAGGAUGAGCAUCGAAGUCGCAUUUCUCACAACGGUAGAACCAGUGCUUCGGGUCUCUAUCCUUUUCACAAAUUAUGCAGGAAGGUUGGUAGUCAUUUGCAUUAAUGUAGGUGAGGAAGAGAGGAUGGUCAUCAUACUCGUGUCUUGCUUUAUAUGGCAGUGUAGCACAUUUCAUACCAAGCUUGAAAUCGCAAACUACACAUUUAAAAAUUACCUUCGAUUCUUCACUAACAAAACAGCCACCACAAUGGAGAAUAUUCUCUCUGUCAUCUGCAAGCAAAGGGUGAAACCCGUGACCUCCAAUAAUACAACGGAGAAUAUUCUUUCUGCCCACUGGAAGAUAAAGGGGAUGCUCAUGACCUCCAUGUUUAAAAGAAUCUUUCAAUGAUUUGAAGCACCGGACAUCAAUGCAGAGUCCACAUAUACCACAACAGUACCUGAGCCCACGAAAAUUUUGCCUACAUACAAAACAGUAGAACAGAUCUUGUUCCCAUCGGUUCCAUGAAAGAAUCAGUUGGUUUUCGUGAUAUUGCCACUUUUUUCGCCUGGGUAAUUCUAUGCAGGUUUUGUCAAGAAAGAAAUUACAACUGGCACAACUAUAAAAUGGAGUUGAGAUUGGUAACAUGCACCCAUCACACUUUAGAUCAUCAUCAACCUUGUCAGUAAGGAUUAGGUUAUGUUGAUGACUGAAAUGCUCGAUCUCUUCAAUUAUUCUCUCCUCUCCAUGCUUGAUCUCACGGACAACGCGAAAGCUAGGUUCCAUGAAUUGAUCAUCAACAGUCACACUUUGCUCUUCUUCGUUUUCUCUACAGUCUCUGUUGCAGAAUCGCCAUAUUCUCUGCUACAAUUCACGUGUGCAACAAAGUCACAGUCUGGGCAAUAGUAAACUCCGUAUUCUGAGUCAACUUCCCGACGGCAAAUUCCACAGUACUUGUUUAUAGAUUCGAUGCAUUGUUGAGGAUAGGUGUGGAUGAUUCGGGGAUGAUGGUGCAGUGCCGUUUUAAGGGUGCGUGGCAAUGAAAUGCAUUCUUCGUGGACCACGAGUUGGCACAUGGUGCACACGAAUGGAGAGUCAUCUCCAUCAGUGCCGCAUGCAUUGCAAGUGAAGGAGAUUGAUUUUAGUGAAAGUGGAUUCAGUAGGCGUCUGAAUUGAUGCCCCUGAUUCUGAUCAGCUGCAUAAACGCACGGUGGAAAAGCACAUUUGAUAUGGAGGUUGAAUUCGCACACAAAACAGCAGUAGACAAAACUCUCAUAGCAAGUUUCGUUGCAAAUCCACAGAUCAUUUCAUGAUUUGGCAGUAGACGAAGAGGGUGUUCUGGAUGCAACUGCCGCUUGAUCUCUGGGGGUAGCUCAGCACACUUCUUGUGAAGAAAGAAGUUGCAAGAAGUGCACCUAUAGCUAGGACCCGACAUUGGUUCCUUACACACACAGCACAUAACUCCUUCACCAUGAUAUUCUUUCUUUUCAUUCAAAAUCAAUGGAUGAUCCUUGUGAGCAAAUUGAUGUGCCUUAUUAUCAACUUCCAAAAAACCCGGUUGAAAAGCACAUUUGAUAUCAAGAUCAAAGCCACAGAAAGAACAAUGGUAAACAAAACUGUUGAAAGUUUUGUAGCACCGAUCACAAAAGCAUUGUCUGUAAUGAUAUGGUGGCUUCGCCAGUAGAUGGAGAGGGUGUCUACGAUGAAUGCGCCGCUUGAUCUCACGGGGCAGCUCGGCGCAUGUCUUAUGAAGAAAGAAGUAGCAAGAGGUGCAACUGUAGCAAGGACCCCAUAUUGGUCCCUCGCAUCCAGAACAAAUAACUAGUUCACAGCUAUAUUCGAGAACUUGAUUAAUGAGGAUCAAUGGAUGAUCUGGGUGGCUAAAAUGUUCAACCUCCAUGUCCUUGGCUCUCUCAGCGGCCAGAGCAGCAGGUACUCAGGGGUCUUGAGUUAAGGCAAGACUUAGGUAGGCCAAACCGAAUCUGCCGAAUAUUUAUGUUUUCGAAAUGGAAAAGAAAAGAAAAGAAAAGUUUAGUCCUCCUAGUAUUCAACUCCUCACCUUCUAACCUGAAAAUUGACCUCUUCUCCGACGACUAAUUAAAUAAAUUCAGCUGCUUACUGCUACAGUACUGAUCAACAAUUGAAAUCACAGAACACAGUGAAUUACCAUAAAGAUGGGAACUUUGUAAAUUGCUGGGGAAGCAUUUUUCUUCCCUCUUCCCCUUUAUCAAAGAUUAUGGCACAGAGAGCCGAAACGAAAAAUAACUCAAAGGACUCAAGAUUCAAAGAAACCCGAAAAGGAAGGAAGCGUGUUACCCGUAAGGAAGAGGCGGGUAGAAGAUCACGAGGAAAGCUACAGGCUCCUCUAAUGUGGGGUUCGCGUUUGACGGGUCGGGUCAUGGAGGUGGGGUUUUGUUAGAAAGAAUUGAGAAUUGUUAGGGUUUGAAAUUAAGAUGGAAAGAGAUUUAAAUUUAAUUGUUAGGAUUUUCGGGGAGAAAUGUCAAGAGUCUAUUUUCUUUCGCUCACUUUUUAUUUGCGUUGCGCGGUUU